This 202-nucleotide unclassified non-coding RNA is filed under the name Hevea brasiliensis (rubber tree). Lineage: Eukaryota; Viridiplantae; Streptophyta; Magnoliopsida; Malpighiales; Euphorbiaceae. The record is from RNAcentral.
UGUGAUUCUGUUGCAACAAAAGAAGUUUCUCAGGACUUGGUUGUGGAGAACAAAUCCAACAAGCGCUGGGGAGAUUACAGCGACAAUGAAGCUGAGAUUGUUGAGGUUUCAAGUUGAAGGAGAAUCACCAGUUUUGUAUUUACCUCAGAUAAUUUUGUUCACGAAUGUUGCUGAGUGGUAGUUUCUUUUGCUGUAGUGCGAG